RNAcentral lists this ribosomal RNA (496 nucleotides) under uncultured bacterium. RNAcentral describes it as "partial 16S ribosomal RNA". It matches the Rfam family "Bacterial small subunit ribosomal RNA", at positions 29 to 507 of the family's 1533-position model. The record is from RNAcentral.
AUGAACGCUGGCGGCGUGCCUAAUACAUGCAAGUCGAGCGAACGGACGAGAAGCUUGCUUUUCUGAUGUUAGCGGCGGACGGGGGAGUAACACGUGGAUAACCUACCUAUAAGACUGGGAUAACUUCGGGAAACCGGAGCUAAUACCGGAUAAUUUUUUGAACCCCAUGGUUCAAAAGUAAAAGACGGUCUUGCUGUCACUAAUGGAGGGAUCCGCGCUGCAUUAGCUAGUUGGUAAGGUAACGGCUUACCAAGGCAACGAUGCAUAGCCGACCUGAGAGGGUGAUCGGCCACACUGGAACUGAGACACGGUCCAGACUCCUACGGGAGGCAGCAGUAGGGAAUCUUCCGCAAUGGGCGAAAGCCUGACGGAGCAACGCCGCGUGAGUGAUGAAGGUCUUCGGAUCGUAAAACUCUGUUAUUAGGGAAGAACAUAUGUGUAAGUAACUGUGCACAUCUUGACGGUACCUAAUCAGAAAGCCACGGCUAACUACGUG